CGAGAAGAAAGAGAAGGGGAGUGUAGCGUGACGAUAUGUGGGAUAUAACAGCUACCGUGGAUCGCGCGUAGUCAGCGAUUGUGAUUCAAGGGAGGAGACGCCGUACGAGAGAAAAAGACAGGCUUAUGUAUUUCGAUCUCCUUUCUUCGUGCCCAAAAUUGCGUCAAAAUACAAACACCUAAUUAUACAUUGCGAACGAAGUGCGACGGCAGUACAACAUGGCGCCCGGAACGAGGAAGUCGGGGCCGUACGCACGAGGGGCUCGACGUCCCGGUCGCCGAACGGGGAUCCCCUAGGAUCGGGUAUACGUAACCGUGAACGUACCCCGAGUGGCGUCAGGUGGAUUUUCAGGUGGAUUUUCAGGUGCUCACCCUGCACAUCAAUAGCUGAAAGAAUCCUACAAACG
Molecule: unclassified non-coding RNA, 406 nt
Filed under: Athalia rosae (coleseed sawfly)
Lineage: Eukaryota; Metazoa; Arthropoda; Insecta; Hymenoptera; Athaliidae
Description: misc RNA ENSAEAG00005000626.1
Source: RNAcentral